UUUGCUUACUUUGAUUCUGAGGAAUUAAAUUUUUCAUAUGUUCUUGUCAGCUUAAAAUCUGACACGCAGGGCAUUGCCUGACUAAUAUAAAACUGCUUUUUGCUUCUCCAUUUAACACCGAAGCUUGCUUCAGUUGACUCACGGAUUGUCCUGGUCUUACACUACCAUCAUGAUAUGUCUGCUUCAG
Small nuclear RNA from Symsagittifera roscoffensis, 187 nucleotides. RefSeq annotates it as U2 spliceosomal RNA. The record is from RefSeq and is a predicted model, not a curated record. The transcript has a single exon. NCBI's taxonomy places the organism in Eukaryota, Metazoa, Xenacoelomorpha, Acoela, Convolutidae.